UGGGGAAUAUUGGACAAUGGGCGAAAGCCUGAUCCAGCCAUGCCGCGUGUGUGAAGAAGGUCUUCGGAUUGUAAAGCACUUUAAGUUGGGAGGAAGGGCAUUAACCUAAUACUUUGCUGUUUUGACGUUACCGACAGAAUAAGCACCGGCUAACUCUGUGCCAGCAGCCGCGGUAAUACAGAGGGUGCAAGCGUUAAUCGGAAUUACUGGGCGUAAAGCGCGCGUAGGUGGUUCGUUAAGUUGGAUGUGAAAUCCCCGGGCUCAACCUGGGAACUGCAUUCAAAACUGACGAGCUAGAGUAUGGUAGAGGGUGGUGGAAUUUCCUGUGUAGCGGUGAAAUGCGUAGAUAUAGGAAGGAACACCAGUGGCGAAGGCGACCACCUGGACUGAUACUGACACUGAGGUGCGAAAGCGUGGGGAGCAAACA
This 427-nucleotide ribosomal RNA is filed under the name uncultured bacterium. RNAcentral's name for it is "partial 16S ribosomal RNA". It matches the Rfam family "Bacterial small subunit ribosomal RNA", at positions 355 to 774 of the family's 1533-position model. The record is from RNAcentral.